GGGGAUGACUUGGUUUUGACGUGGGUCAAGAAACUUUUAGGAGCAUAUAGAGGACGCUUGAGGACCUCUUAAAAAACAAGCACUUUUUAAUUGGCGACAAUCAUGUUGCUCUUGCUGCUUAAUUUAUUGUAGCAACACGGAACCUUUUAAGACAGCGAAAAAGGGGAAGUGCUGACUUUAGCUGUCUCGGUUUUUUAUUUUUUUUAUAGGUAAAAAACUUAAAUUUAUAUAGAAAAAAUUAAAGUAAAGUUUGUUCUUGUACUUUCUUUAAUUUUUUAAACAAGAACUAAAUAUGUAGAGCCUGAAAGAGGACGUCUUGCGGACAGGGGUUCAAUUCCCCUCAUCUCCACCA
RNAcentral lists this transfer-messenger RNA (352 nucleotides) under Bdellovibrionales. RNAcentral's name for it is "JACOND01 sp014323935 Standard tmRNA". It matches the Rfam family "transfer-messenger RNA". Rfam says of the family: Bacterial tmRNA, also known as 10Sa RNA or SsrA, is named for its dual tRNA and mRNA-like properties. Its role is to liberate the mRNA from a stalled ribosome. The record is from RNAcentral. RNAcentral also lists the same sequence under 1 other name. Lineage: Bacteria; Pseudomonadati; Bdellovibrionota; Bdellovibrionia.